GACGAACCGAGCGAACGUUGUUCGGAAUCACUGGGCUUAAAGGGCGCGUAGGCGGCUUGCCAAGUCAGUGGUGAAAUCCUGCAGCUUAACUGCAGAAGUGCCUUUGAUACUGGCGAGCUAGAGGGAGGUAGGGGUAUGUGGAACUUCUGGUGGAGCGGUGAAAUGCGUUGAUAUCAGAAGGAACGCCGGUGGCGAAAGCGACGUACUGGACCUCUUCUGACGCUGAGGCGCGAAAGCUAGGGGAGCAAACGGG
Molecule: ribosomal RNA, 253 nt
Filed under: uncultured bacterium
Lineage: Bacteria
Description: partial 16S ribosomal RNA
Rfam family: Bacterial small subunit ribosomal RNA
Source: RNAcentral